CUACGGGGUGCAGCAGUGGGGAAUUUUGCGCAAUGGGCGGAAGCCUGACGCAGCAAUACCGCGUGAGUGAAGAAGGCCUUUGGGUCGUAAAGCUCUUUUCUGAAGGAAGAUAGUGACGGUACUUCAGGAAUAAGCACCGGCUAACUCCGUGCCAGCAGCCGCGGUAAUACGGAGGGUGCAAGCGUUGUUCGGAUUUACUGGGCGUAAAGGGCACGUAGGCGGCACAGCAAGUUAAGGGUGAAAUCCCGGGGCUCAACUCCGGAACUGCUCUUAAAACUGCUGAGCUAGAGAUAGUCAGAGGCGGGUGGAAUGCCUGGUGUAGAGGUGAAAUUCGUAGAUAUCAGGAGGAACACCGGUGGCGAAGGCGGCCCGCUGGGGCUAUUCUGACGCUAAGGUGCGAAAGCGUGGGGAGCGAACGGGAUUAGAUACCCGAGUAGUC
Molecule: ribosomal RNA, 439 nt
Filed under: uncultured bacterium
Lineage: Bacteria
Description: partial 16S ribosomal RNA
Rfam family: Bacterial small subunit ribosomal RNA
Source: RNAcentral